UACGUAGGUGGCAAGCGUUGUCCGGAUUUACUGGGCGUAAAGAGCGCGCAGGCGGUCGUUCAAGUCGCGUGUGAAAGCCCCCGGCUCAACUGGGGAGGGUCACGCGAUACUGAUCGACUCGAAGGCAGGAGAGGGUAGUGGAAUUCCUGGUGUAGCGGUGAAAUGCGCAGAUAUCAGGAGGAACACCAGCGGCGAAGGCGGCGCUCUGGGCCGGUACUGACACUGAGGAGCGAAAGCGUGGGUAGCAAACAGG
Molecule: ribosomal RNA, 253 nt
Filed under: uncultured bacterium
Lineage: Bacteria
Description: partial 16S ribosomal RNA
Rfam family: Bacterial small subunit ribosomal RNA
Source: RNAcentral